This 1375-nucleotide long non-coding RNA is filed under the name Nicotiana tabacum (common tobacco). RNAcentral's name for it is "long non-coding RNA (NTAB_LNC005198)". Lineage: Eukaryota; Viridiplantae; Streptophyta; Magnoliopsida; Solanales; Solanaceae. The record is from RNAcentral.
GUGGGAUCCCUCCAUUACUACUCCACAAUAUUCGACUCAUUGGGAGCUUUCUUGCAAAGUGAUGAUUCGAGCAGGCAUAGUGUUGAACAUGGCCUGCUUUACAGAGAAAUCAACAACAUAUUAGCCAUUGGAGGGCCAGCAAGAAAUGGGGAGGAUAAAUUUAAGCAUUGGAGAAGUGAACUAUCAAGAAAUGGAUUCAUGCAAGUGCCAAUGAGUACAAAUGCAAUGGCUCAAGCUCAAUUGAUAUUGAAUAUGUUCCCACCAGUUCAUGGUUAUAGCUUAGUGCAAGGUGAUGGGACAUUAAAGUUAGGGUGGAAGGAUACUAGUUUGUAUACUGCAUCUGCAUGGACUUCUCCAAAUUCUAGAUAGAUAAAUUUGGACUUUAAGAGUUGUAUUGUACGUUUAGAUAGUUUGUCUUUAUCUUUUGUGGUGGUUUAGACUUUAGAACAUGUCAGCUAAUCUGACACUUAAUUUCCUACUACUUCUUUUAUAUAUAUCAUCCUCAACUGCUACAUGUCUGUAGUAACUACUGUUAGCUAGAGUGACUUAACAAAUUGACAAAAUCCUAUCAACAGUAGGGAAUUGCAGGGCUUCACAUAACUAUGCAGGUCACGCUUCAAAUUAUCUUCCUUUGUUUCAAGGAAAACAAAAGAAUGUUUGAGGACUUCUUUCUUGUUCAACCCUCAAUUUAUUUAAUAUUUCGAGGAGAUAUAUAGAUGUCUGUAGGAGCAGCCAAAGGAAGUUUGUAAAUGCUUCCAAGGAUCAUGUUCAGUUGAGCUGGAUCAAUUUCUUGGAUUUGCAACAUAAGAAUUAGAUAACCCAUCAUGAUAAUUAAACAUCAUCUUUGACAACUGUAAGGACCGCCACAAUCACUAGAAAUUUUUCAUUACCAAAAUUGGGAUUCGAGUAUAUUCACUCAUCCAACUGGUGGGUGGAAUUGUCCAUAGUUCAAUUUUUGAGACAUUUGGAUUGGAACCAUAUUUUAUCAACAAUAUUGUUUGACCAAAAAAGUAUUAGACCUUUUUAGUUAAACUAAUAAAUGAUGAAAUGGAGGGUAAAUCUUAGCCAAACAUAAUUAACUCUAGAUCUAAGCAUAUUAAAUAUGAGAAUCAAAAGGGACUUGGCUUACAUAACAUUCUUUGAGAUGAUAAACAUACAUCAAAUAUAAAUGAUAAACUUACAUCUUUGAUAUAUUGUUCUGUACUUGUAAGAGCAAAGAAAGAAAAGAAGGAAAGUUAUCGAUAACUAUGAAAUCUAUCUUUAUUGAUUCAACAAUAAUGAUUACAAAAGGUUGUAACCAAAAUCUGGGCUUUUGGUUUGUCGUUGGAGGUCCCCUCCUAUUGAGAACCAAGAUCUGAGAAUUGUGAAAUCUUGG